AGAGUUUGAUCCUGGCUCAGAAUCAACGCUGGCGGCGUGCCUAACACAUGCAAGUCGAACGCGGUUAGUAGCAAUACUGACUGAGUGGCAAACGGGUGAGUAACACGUGGGUGACCUACCUUCGAGUGGGGGAUAACGUCCCGAAAGGGACGCUAAUACCGCAUAACAUCCUGUCCUUGAACGGAUGGAGAUCAAAGCCGGGGAUCGUAAGACCUGGCGCUUGAUGAGGGGCCCGCGUCUGAUUAGCUAGUUGGUGAGGUAACGGCCCACCAAGGCGACGAUCAGUAUCCGGCCUGAGAGGGCGGACGGACACACUGGGACUGAGACACGGCCCAGACUCCUACGGGAGGCAGCAGUGGGGAAUUGUUCACAAUGGGCGCAAGCCUGAUGACGCAACGCCGCGUGGAGGAUGAAGGUCUUCGGAUUGUAAACUCCUGUUGCUCGGGACGAAAAGCCUCGACCUAACACGUCGAGGUCUGACGGUACCGAGUGAGGAAGCCCCGGCUAACUCUGUGCCAGCAGCCGCGGUAAUACAGAGGGGGCAAGCGUUGUUCGGAAUUACUGGGCGUAAAGGGCGCGUAGGCGGCCUGCUAAGUCGAACGUGAAAUCCCCGAGCUCAACUCGGGAACUGCGUCCGAUACUGACAGGCUUGAAUCCGGGAGAGGGAUGCGGAAUUCCAGGUGUAGCGGUGAAAUGCGUAGAUAUCUGGAGGAACACCGGUGGCGAAGGCGGCAUCCUGGACCGGCAUUGACGCUGAGGCGCGAAAGCUAGGGGAGCAAACGGGAUUAGAUACCCCGGUAGUCCUAGCCCUAAACGAUGAAUGCUUGGUGUGGCGGGUAUCGAUCCCUGCCGUGCCGAAGCUAACGCAUUAAGCAUUCCGCCUGGGGAGUACGGUCGCAAGGCUGAAACUUAAAGGAAUUGACGG
Molecule: ribosomal RNA, 925 nt
Filed under: uncultured bacterium
Lineage: Bacteria
Description: bacterial SSU rRNA
Rfam family: Bacterial small subunit ribosomal RNA
Source: RNAcentral